This is a long non-coding RNA of Oreochromis aureus, 3520 nucleotides long. RefSeq lists it as uncharacterized. The transcript is spliced from 4 exons. The record is from RefSeq and is a predicted model, not a curated record. Lineage: Eukaryota; Metazoa; Chordata; Actinopteri; Cichliformes; Cichlidae.
CAGAUCUCGGCCCUGGGGACUGACACCACACCCAUCCGUGUGUGUGUUUGUGUGUUUUUCAGUGUGUUUUGAAUUGUGUGUGUUGUCCAGCGUACACUCUGUCGGCGUAAGAAGAGCUGCCUGCUGACUCUCAGAAACUGGUGACUUCAGCAUGAACACUCACGCAACGGUGCCCCCUUUGUCAGGAACAAGCCCCUCUCCUUUUUCAGACCUUGUGACCAAGAUAGGACCCAAGGAAACCUAUGACACUGGAGAUUUUGCCGCUUUGAUUGGUGGAAUCGUAAGUGUAGUGCUGUUGUUAAUGAUCUGCGUCAUCGGCGUGCUUUUGUGGUGCUUGUCCAGACAUAAGGGCGAAUACGUGACCAACGAGCAGGAGGACAAAGACGAGGACGCCGACAGCGGCGACGGCGACUCCGUUGGCUCUGAUGAAGCGCUUCAAUCUGAGGAACCUUUGAAAGCCAAAGAGGAGGAAUAAAGGGGGGAAAAUGGAAAAUAGCGACAAAAGUGUCACUCAAGUUGCAGACUUGAGAGCUUUGUAGCUUUGUUGCACGCAUAAAACAACAAAGAUGUGAGAAGGGAAGUUUAACAUUUUUAGAAGUAGCCGAUUUUAAAAAUUGCACUGAGCAACUUUGCACUUUGGCACCACUAAAUGUGAGCAAAGCACAACUGUCUGAAAUGUGAGCCCUUCUCAGGAAUGUGAACAACCAAAAGAAACUAAGAUGUGGUUUGUGUUCGGUAGACCUGUGUUUACAUUGUUCCCUCGUUAAAAGCUCCACUUUAAUGCAGCGACGUUGCAUAAAUUACAAGCAGGCAUUUUCAUGCUAUGACUGACUGUGGUAUCCUGAAUUUAUGGUGGCCCCAAGGUGCCAAACAGAAAAAUAAAGCAGAAAACACAAAACAUAAAGUAAUGAAAGAAAAAACAAGAUGAGCUCAACUACAAUAAAAAAGGAGAGCAAAGAUGAAACAGAAAGAACAGAAAAAACUGCAAAAAGAACAAAAACAGUUUUAAAAGCAGCCGAAAACAUAAACUAAAAAAACUGAAAAGUUAUUCAAAAGCAAUAAAUUUUUUCUAAAAUAUUGUUUUUCCAUUUUUUUAUGUUGUUUUCCAGAAUAUCAUUUGUUUUUUCAAGGUUUCAUAUGAGUAUAUGUUUUGUUGACGAUGUUUUAUAUAUUACCUAUAAUAUAUCUUUUAAGGCCCUAACAAAAAGAGUCACACACUCUGAUGUUUUGUUGCUCUACCUUUAGCUUUGAUGCAGGCAUGCAAUCGCUGUGGCAUCAUUUUUGAUAAGCUUGUGCAUUGCUACACUUAUUUCCCUCCAGAUUUGCCUUCAUUUCUCUCCAUGACCGUGUAUUGAUCGUGAGUGCGCUCACAUGGCUGCAUAAAGGGUUCAACACAUCUCAAAGAUGGGGUUAAGGUCUGGACUCUGUUGUGACCAAUACAUGUGUGAAAAUGAUGUCUCAUGCUCUUUGAACCACUCUUUCACUAUUUGAACCCAAUGAAUGUUGCCAUUGUCAUCUGGGAAGAUGCCUGCGCCAUCAGGGCAGGCAGAACCUGGUCAUUCAGCACAUUCAGGCAGUCAGCUGGCCUCACCGUUUGAGCAUAAAUCAUUGAUAAACGUAGACCUGACCGACUGAACCAACCUCACAUCAUAAGACUCCCCUCACAGGUCUCUACUGUUGGCACUAGGCAUGCUACUUAAUCCCACUGAUGAUUAAUAUAACCUCAAAAUGUAAUUUUUAAAGGACAUUUGUGACAAUGAUAUUUGUGUCUGAAUAACAUUUGAUCUCAGACAGCAGCAUUUAUGAGUGCAAGCAAAACAAAGGGCAUUUUCCUUCUUUUCCAUUGAGCUACUGUUACUGAUGGUUGAUUAGCUAAUGUGCCAGCACCAAGCUGCAGUUGCAUUAUAGUCCAAUAGUAGCCUUAUAUGCUGUGCCACAACCUUAGUCAGACCUAGGUACAAAAGUAGCCCAGGCAGGGAAAUAGCUUGGAAAUAGCUUAAAUAAUUAGCUUAACAGUGCUAACAUAACUGAAGCUUGGAAAUCUUCAGGAGCUCUUCCAAUCUUAUAGAGUGGAGCUAGCGCCAGCCAUGCUAGGUUGACUUUGUUUCCUUUUGAUUGCUAGCAUCUGCUCCUCACGUGUCUUCAACCAUGUAUUUUUUGCCUCAACUUUCCUCCAUAUUUUGCAAUGUACUGUAUUUUGUUGGUGGUUGUUGAAGUAGCUUUCUUUUUUACUCAGAGGCCUCUCUCACUGUGAGACGUGCCUGUGUUGUGCCUCUAGUGUAAAUAUGGCACAGCCCUAGCACCCAUCCCUCUGGAGCAGGCUAAAUAUGCGCUCGCCAGAUAACAUGACCUUUUUCCAUUGCUCCUGAGCCCAGUCUGCUUGCUCCCUGUCCUUUUCUUUUCUCAGUUAGCUUCACUGAUCGGUGGUUUCCUUAAGGCUGUACAGCCUUUUAAUGGCAAUCCCCUGAUUUUCUCUUCACACUGCCUGUGGAAGCACGCUUAACUUUGUUAUUAAACUUUGCCAUGAGCUCUACUAUCAUCUUUUUUAAUGAUUUGAUUUCACUAAAUAUUUACGUGAUCAUUAAAGAUUUUUCUCUGGUUACAUUUCAUGAUUUUUAUCACUGUCCAGUUUUUGCAGUUUCAGAAAUGGCCUUCGAUGUUAAAAAAAAGUGUAACAUCUUCUCCGCAUCCCCUUGAUACAUCCUCCAACAUGGUUGUUUAACAAAAGAAAGAAGUUCUCACAGCAUCUGUUAGCGUUAAAUAAGCUUUUGCCAGCAGAAAUAUAUUAAUGACUGCAGUAGUAAUCCAGUGGAAAGCUCUUAAAUCCAGGCAGACUUUUCUUUCUUGGCAGAGCAGUGUACAUCUUGUGUUUUCCAUUUUCUCGCUGUGUUGUGCACCUUGGGGCCAGCAUAAAGAUUCUCUUGCAGAAACAACUCGCUGAGUCCAUGUUAUUAACAAUUCUCGUGAGUGACGCACAAAAUAAAUGGCAACACAUUUAAAUAACCUUUAUUUUAGCGUUGGUAACAUUUUGUUCCUGAGUACUGAGUCGUUUUUCUCAGUGUUUCAAGAAUUUGGCCUCAGAUCUCACAUUCUUCACGAGCUUCUUAUUUCUAAAACUUUUACAGCUGUUUUGAGUCUCUAUGUUGUCAGGCAGUUUUUGCAUCAUCCUGCCAAAGAAGCUGAGAGGUCAAAUGAGCCUAGCAGACGAAGAUAAACAUCUACAUGAGUGCUUACUGCUGGUGAUUUUCCAUUGUGGUUGUUGUCAUAUUUUAAGCUCAAAGUAAUAAACAACUAACUACAGGUUGGAGUCUGACUAACACGUGACAGUUAUGAAUCAGCAGGGAGGAAAAAAUCUGAGUAAAUUUCCAGCCCAGAGUUGUGCAUUUCUGUCUGUUUUCCCAUCAUCAAAGCUCCAGUUUUCUGCUCCAGCAAACUUUAUUGAUUUUAUCCUGUUUUAGUAAAAUCUCUUUUAUUUGCUGAUGUUUUCUAAAAGUACAUUAAUAAACUUGAUACUUUGUGA